GGUUAAGCGACUAAGCGUACACGGUGGAUGCCCUGGCAGUCAGAGGCGAUGAAGGACGUGCUAAUCUGCGAUAAGCGUCGGUAAGGUGAUAUGAACCGUUAUAACCGGCGAUUUCCGAAUGGGGAAACCCAGUGUGAUUCGUCACACUAUCAUUAACUGAAUCCAUAGGUUAAUGAGGCGAACCGGGGGAACUGAAACAUCUAAGUACCCCGAGGAAAAGAAAUCAACCGAGAUUCCCCCAGUAGCGGCGAGCGAACGGGGAGGAGCCCAGAGCCUGAAUCAGUGUGUGUGUUAGUGGAAGCGUCUGGAAAGGCGCGCGAUACAGGGUGACAGCCCCGUACACAAAAAUGCACAUACUGUGAGCUCGAUGAGUAGGGCGGGACACGUGGUAUCCUGUCUGAAUAUGGGGGGACCAUCCUCCAAGGCUAAAUACUCCUGACUGACCGAUAGUGAACCAGUACCGUGAGGGAAAGGCGAAAAGAACCCCGGCGAGGGGAGUGAAAAAGAACCUGAAACCGUGUACGUACAAGCAGUGGGAGCCUCUUUAUGGGGUGACUGCGUACCUUUUGUAUAAUGGGUCAGCGACUUAUAUUCUGUAGCAAGGUUAACCGAAUAGGGGAGCCGAAGGGAAACCGAGUCUUAACUGGGCGUUAAGUUGCAGGGUAUAGACCCGAAACCCGGUGAUCUAGCCAUGGGCAGGUUGAAGGUUGGGUAACACUAACUGGAGGACCGAACCGACUAAUGUUGAAAAAUUAGCGGAUGACUUGUGGCUGGGGGUGAAAGGCCAAUCAAACCGGGAGAUAGCUGGUUCUCCCCGAAAGCUAUUUAGGUAGCGCCUCGUGAAUUCAUCUCCGGGGGUAGAGCACUGUUUCGGCAAGGGGGUCAUCCCGACUUACCAACCCGAUGCAAACUGCGAAUACCGGAGAAUGUUAUCACGGGAGACACACGGCGGGUGCUAACGUCCGUCGUGAAGAGGGAAACAACCCAGACCGCCAGCUAAGGUCCCAAAGUCAUGGUUAAGUGGGAAACGAUGUGGGAAGGCCCAGACAGCCAGGAUGUUGGCUUAGAAGCAGCCAUCAUUUAAAGAAAGCGUAAUAGCUCACUGGUCGAGUCGGCCUGCGCGGAAGAUGUAACGGGGCUAAACCAUGCACCGAAGCUGCGGCAGCGACGCUUAUGCGUUGUUGGGUAGGGGAGCGUUCUGUAAGCCUGCGAAGGUGUGCUGUGAGGCAUGCUGGAGGUAUCAGAAGUGCGAAUGCUGACAUAAGUAACGAUAAAGCGGGUGAAAAGCCCGCUCGCCGGAAGACCAAGGGUUCCUGUCCAACGUUAAUCGGGGCAGGGUGAGUCGACCCCUAAGGCGAGGCCGAAAGGCGUAGUCGAUGGGAAACAGGUUAAUAUUCCUGUACUUGGUGUUACUGCGAAGGGGGGACGGAGAAGGCUAUGUUGGCCGGGCGACGGUUGUCCCGGUUUAAGCGUGUAGGCUGGUUUUCCAGGCAAAUCCGGAAAAUCAAGGCUGAGGCGUGAUGACGAGGCACUACGGUGCUGAAGCAACAAAUGCCCUGCUUCCAGGAAAAGCCUCUAAGCAUCAGGUAACAUCAAAUCGUACCCCAAACCGACACAGGUGGUCAGGUAGAGAAUACCAAGGCGCUUGAGAGAACUCGGGUGAAGGAACUAGGCAAAAUGGUGCCGUAACUUCGGGAGAAGGCACGCUGAUAUGUAGGUGAAGCGACUUGCUCGUGGAGCUGAAAUCAGUCGAAGAUACCAGCUGGCUGCAACUGUUUAUUAAAAACACAGCACUGUGCAAACACGAAAGUGGACGUAUACGGUGUGACGCCUGCCCGGUGCCGGAAGGUUAAUUGAUGGGGUUAGCGGUAACGCGAAGCUCUUGAUCGAAGCCCCGGUAAACGGCGGCCGUAACUAUAACGGUCCUAAGGUAGCGAAAUUCCUUGUCGGGUAAGUUCCGACCUGCACGAAUGGCGUAAUGAUGGCCAGGCUGUCUCCACCCGAGACUCAGUGAAAUUGAACUCGCUGUGAAGAUGCAGUGUACCCGCGGCAAGACGGAAAGACCCCGUGAACCUUUACUAUAGCUUGACACUGAACAUUGAGCCUUGAUGUGUAGGAUAGGUGGGAGGCUUUGAAGUGUGG
This 2142-nucleotide ribosomal RNA is filed under the name Escherichia coli. RNAcentral's name for it is "partial 23S ribosomal RNA". It matches the Rfam family "Bacterial large subunit ribosomal RNA", at positions 1 to 2167 of the family's 2925-position model. Lineage: Bacteria; Pseudomonadati; Pseudomonadota; Gammaproteobacteria; Enterobacterales; Enterobacteriaceae. The record is from RNAcentral.